This 467-nucleotide long non-coding RNA is filed under the name Salvia miltiorrhiza (redroot sage). Its description in RNAcentral is "long non-coding RNA (SMIL_LNC014338)". Lineage: Eukaryota; Viridiplantae; Streptophyta; Magnoliopsida; Lamiales; Lamiaceae. The record is from RNAcentral.
GAGUUGGGGAGGGGGAACAGUGGAAUUUGAACCCGAGACCUCACUAUUCACAGAUAGGAGGUCGCACCGCUUGGUGUCCCCUUGGGGACACUAAUACGGUUAUUAAUUCAUAGUAUUCAACCAGGGGGCUUAGCCCACUGGCCACCAGGUCCUCACUUAAGUGAAGUGACCCGGGUUCGAUCCCUCUUGGGAGCGAAUUGGAGAUUGGAGAUAUAAGGUGGAUUUGGUGAAUGGGAGAGAUAAGGUGGUUCUUGGAGUGGAUGGGGAACUAACUACUAACAUCUAACAUGACUUUGCCCGAUCAAAAAAAAAAAAAAAAUUCAUAGUAUUCGGGAUGACUCUAUUAAUUAGCCGUAACUUAUUAAUUAAUACAAGAUUUUGAUACUAGUCUUUUUUUAGUACUAGCAGAUUUGCAUUGCACACAAUUCAUGAAUAUUACACUAAUAAAUUGUUGGUAUUGAAUAAUU